This is a non-coding RNA of Paramormyrops kingsleyae, 1079 nucleotides long. The record is from the annotation of a RefSeq genome assembly. Lineage: Eukaryota; Metazoa; Chordata; Actinopteri; Osteoglossiformes; Mormyridae.
UCAUUUCCUUGCCCACACAGUUCAUCUCCGCUUGUCUCGUUAGAGCACCAAGGCGUCAGAAUGAUCAAAAAACUGCUCUGCUUCACUGCUCUUCUCUGGGUGACAGGACUUUCGCUCAGUAAUAAAGUCCAGCAGACACCUCAUGCUUUGAUAAACCAGACUGGUGUCACUUUGGAAUUUACCUGUAGGCACAAAGUUUCCAGCUAUGACACUAUAUUGUGGUACCAAAAGCUGGAGAAGGACAAUGCCUUAAAUCUCAUUGGUUAUGUCCUGGUUAGUGCUGUUUGUUGUUUCUCUGUUUCCUCUCAGAAGAUGAAUACGGCCAGAGUUGUCAUAUUUGCAGUCAUUUUGCUUUGGUGGAAAGGUCAUGGUGAAGGCAGUGGUGUUACACAGAAUCCAGCCAUUCUCUGGGCUCCUAUAGGGAAUUCUAGCCAGAUGAACUGCAGCCACAAUAAGGGUAUUGACUACUCCCAAAUGUACUGGUACCACCAGCGCCCAGGGGAGAACAUGCAGCUCAUUGUGUUUACAGCUGUUGGAGGUACACCUGACUUUGGGAAUUUAGACCAGAGCAAUUAUGAAGCUGAAAAACAUAACUUUGAGAGUGGAUCUUUCUCAGUAAAAAGUGUGAAGCCAGAAGACAGUGGUGUGUAUUUCUGUGCAGUGAGUAAACACAGUGAUGCAGACUGAUUGCACAGCUGUACAAAAGAAUGAAUAUUAGGUCACGUUUUAUGCAAGUUGCAGUACUUAAUCUCUCCUGUUGGGGGGUCUAUAACUCAAGUAGACAACUUACAGAAACACUGUGACAGCAUUCUGAAUUUAAUGUAGCCGAGUGAAAUGCUUAAAUGCAAACAUAUAGGGAUGGACUGUCAGUCCAGUGGAGAGAGUGAUAUUCUAACAUAACUGGGCUUAAAGCCUGACCUGGAUGAAGCCAUGGGAAUAGGGAAAGGGAAACCAGUGACACAUGUGGGCGUCUGAAGUUUAUACUGGAGGAUGGCCAGCCUGAAGGGACCGUCACCUCAUAACAGACCCCCUUUGGUGUAGGACUCCCAUGUUCCCUCAACCAACCUCACCGUUUGUGA